ACAAUGGUCUUGUAAGCCAUAAAUGAAAACUUUUUUCUAAGGGUAU
RNAcentral lists this transfer RNA (46 nucleotides) under Loxodonta cyclotis (African forest elephant). RNAcentral describes it as "partial tRNA-Thr". The record is from RNAcentral. Lineage: Eukaryota; Metazoa; Chordata; Mammalia; Proboscidea; Elephantidae.